AAACCUGGGACUGCAUAUUGGCCAGCAUGUUGGUUCGCACCCUCGGUUCUUGCGGGAGGUUGAGGGAUCCCUGCCUCUAUUGAUGGGCCUGUUGACUGCUGUCAUUAUGUCCCUUGGACACACAGCCAUUGUCUGUUUUUCCUGCCAUCAUCCAAUAAGGUGGUGGCCAGGACCCAAGGGUGCCAGUGAUCACACUCAACCAUACCUCUAAGGUAGGAAGAAAGUUCUCUGAGCUUUGCUUAAACCAGACUUAAAGAACAUGUGCUCAAGCUUCUGACAGCUAAGGCAGUUUACUCUUCCUUUUCUGUGACCCGAGUCUCAGCUGGUUAAUGUCUGAAGAUUAGCUGAGAACGCCCUCUCGUUGCACACAGACCUGGACCAUUGACUCAGGGAAACGCAUUAACUGCUUGAAUGGAGGACUAGUCGUUCACGGCCAGUGGGUUUUUCUGCUCCAUGGAGUUCCUGCCACCACUGUGGAGUAACUGGAGCAGUGAUUUUGAGAGCAAUCCAUGCAUUUUCAAGAAGGAAGGCACAGAGACAGGGGUGACCAGUGCUGUCUAAACAGCAUGACGUCGAGGCUAGGAAUCCCAACUUUGCCAUCAGACACAUUUUGGUUUGAACCCGGUCGCCGCUACUUUCUGGUGUGAUCCCAGAGACGUCACCUACCCUCGUGUGUAGGGAGAGAUGGUAAAUGCUCCUGGUCAGAGGGCUGCUCUGAAGACUCAACAGGACAACGAUGUGAAAAGGGUGGCACCGUGCCUGGCACACAAUAAGGACUUAGCAAGUUAAUUUAGCAACGAGAAUGCAAGCAAAAGCGGCCU
Molecule: long non-coding RNA, 821 nt
Filed under: Equus caballus (horse)
Lineage: Eukaryota; Metazoa; Chordata; Mammalia; Perissodactyla; Equidae
Description: lncRNA (ENSECAG00000050349.1)
Source: RNAcentral